AGAUUCCUACCGCCAAAGCUGUGGACCGGUGUCGGCGGCUGAGGACACCACAUCCAGACAGAAGAUGAAGCAAGUGUCCAAAAAAGGCAGCGCCGACGCCCAAGGAGGUUCAUUGACAGAUUCUUCAAGCGAUGAUGAAUCUGUUGCACGACCAGAUAAAACUGUCCAGACGGAGCGUGCGUCUGGAAGCCCUGUCUGGAAGUUAAAAUUUAUCUCAGCAGAUACACUUCCUCCACCACCAUCAUGAAACCAGCUGGUUGCCCAGAGCAGAUGAGUCUUUAGUGACCCUACCCACGGACUGCCACUUCAU
Etheostoma spectabile (orangethroat darter) is the source of this 310-nucleotide long non-coding RNA. RefSeq lists it as uncharacterized. The transcript has 4 exons. The record is from RefSeq and is a predicted model, not a curated record. NCBI's taxonomy places the organism in Eukaryota, Metazoa, Chordata, Actinopteri, Perciformes, Percidae.